Molecule: ribosomal RNA, 781 nt
Filed under: uncultured bacterium
Lineage: Bacteria
Description: bacterial SSU rRNA
Rfam family: Bacterial small subunit ribosomal RNA
Source: RNAcentral
CAGUCGAGCGAACAAUUUAAGUGAAGUUUUCGGAUGGAUCUUAAAUUGACUGAGCGGCGGACGGGUGAGUAACGCGUGGAUAACCUGCCUCACACAGGGGGAUAACAGUUAGAAAUGACUGCUAAUACCGCAUAAGCGCACGGUACCGCAUGGUACAGUGUGAAAAACUCCGGUGGUGUGAGAUGGAUCCGCGUCUGAUUAGGUAGUUGGUGAGGUAACGGCCCACCAAGCCGACGAUCAGUAGCCGACCUGAGAGGGUGACCGGCCACAUUGGGACUGAGACACGGCCCAAACUCCUACGGGAGGCAGCAGUGGGGAAUAUUGCACAAUGGGCGAAAGCCUGAUGCAGCAACGCCGCGUGAGUGAAGAAGUAUCUCGGUAUGUAAAGCUCUAUCAGCAGGGAAGAAAAUGACGGUACCUGACUAAGAAGCCCCGGCUAACUACGUGCCAGCAGCCGCGGUAAUACGUAGGGGGCAAGCGUUAUCCGGAUUUACUGGGUGUAAAGGGAGCGCAGACGGCACUGCAAGUCUGAAGUGAAAGCCCGGGGCUCAACCCCGGGACUGCUUUGGAAACUGUAGAGCUAGAGUGCUGGAGAGGCAAGCGGAAUUCCUAGUGUAGCGGUGAAAUGCGUAGAUAUUAGGAAGAACACCAGUGGCGAAGGCGGCUUGCUGGACAGUAACUGACGUUCAGGCUCGAAAGCGUGGGGAGCAAACAGGAUUAGAUACCCUGGUAGUCCACGCUGUAAACGAUGAAUACUAGGUGUUGGUGGGCAAAGCCCAUC